This is a long non-coding RNA of Drosophila simulans, 700 nucleotides long. RefSeq lists it as uncharacterized. The record is from RefSeq and is a predicted model, not a curated record. The transcript is spliced from 3 exons. NCBI's taxonomy places the organism in Eukaryota, Metazoa, Arthropoda, Insecta, Diptera, Drosophilidae.
UCAUAUGAAUGCCAACGCUUUGCUUCCGAAUUUCUAUAUAAGCAACCAUGGCCUUUCCUUUUCACUCAUAAUUUCUCGUUUCUAAAAUCGCCCAAGAAUGGGGUUGCUGGCAAAGGUUCGAGCAUACUGGAAAAGCAAAAUACGCAGGGCAUUUCAGUCGCUUAAGCGGGACUUCGAUGCCGAAUCGGAACAAGGCAAUCACCAAGACCAUUGUUGCCUAUCCAAGCCUUAGGAUGAUCUUUGAAUCCUUUCAAUCAAGAAAACUGAUGUCCUAUUCGAGCUUCCCCGAUUUUCUGUGAUUUUAGUAACCAACCAUAAACACCCAAUCUGAUUGGAAGAAGCCCAACCCUUGAGCCUACUUUAAAGAGGAAUAUCGUGGAACACGACUUAAGCCGGCGGAUAGCCGCAGGAAAUUCAAGCUCUCUGCAUGGUGCCAAAUAAAAAGAGCCACAAAAUCCAUUAAGACACAGCUAGCGGCAAUGGCAGUGGCAGUGGCAGUCCUCCUGCUCCAAUCCUCGUCCUUGCGCUCAUCCCCAUCGUGAUCCUGAUCCUGCCACCCAUUGCAUCAGGCCCGCGUGGGCGCAACCCCUUUUUAAGGCCGCGCAUAAAAGUUACUUCCGUUGCUCGUCGGUGGCCGAGAAAAAGGGCUAACAAAACUAUUAAAAUGCCGGCGACACCAUACAUUAUUUAUUUCUUUUUU